UGGGGAAUUUUGGACAAUGGGCGCAAGCCUGAUCCAGCCAUGCCGCGUGCGGGAAGAAGGCCUUCGGGUUGUAAACCGCUUUUGUCAGGGAAGAAAUCCUUUGAGCUAAUACCUCGGGGGGAUGACGGUACCUGAAGAAUAAGCACCGGCUAACUACGUGCCAGCAGCCGCGGUAAUACGUAGGGUGCAAGCGUUAAUCGGAAUUACUGGGCGUAAAGCGUGCGCAGGCGGUUAUGUAAGACAGAGGUGAAAUCCCCGGGCUCAACCUGGGAAUUGCCUUUGUGACUGCAAGGCUUGAGUGCGGCAGAGGGGGAUGGAAUUCCGUGUGUAGCAGUGAAAUGCGUAGAUAUGCGGAGGAACACCGAUGGCGAAGGCAGCCUCCUGGGCCAGUACUGACGCUCAUGCACGAAGGCGUGGGGAGCAAACA
This 427-nucleotide ribosomal RNA is filed under the name uncultured bacterium. RNAcentral's name for it is "bacterial SSU rRNA". It matches the Rfam family "Bacterial small subunit ribosomal RNA", at positions 355 to 774 of the family's 1533-position model. The record is from RNAcentral.